Molecule: ribosomal RNA, 473 nt
Filed under: uncultured bacterium
Lineage: Bacteria
Description: bacterial SSU rRNA
Rfam family: Bacterial small subunit ribosomal RNA
Source: RNAcentral
ACUCCUACGGGAGGCAGCAGUAGGGAAUCUUCCACAAUGGGCGCAAGCCUGAUGGAGCAACACCGCGUGAGUGAAGAAGGGUUUCGGCUCGUAAAGCUCUGUUGUUAAAGAAGAACACGUAUGAGAGUAACUGUUCAUACGUUGACGGUAUUUAACCAGAAAGUCACGGCUAACUACGUGCCAGCAGCCGCGGUAAUACGUAGGUGGCAAGCGUUAUCCGGAUUUAUUGGGCGUAAAGAGAGUGCAGGCGGUUUUCUAAGUCUGAUGUGAAAGCCUUCGGCUUAACCGGAGAAGUGCAUCGGAAACCGGAUAACUUGAGUGCAGAAGAGGUAGUGGAACUCCAUGUGUAGCGGUGGAAUGCGUAGAUAUAUGGAAGAACACCAGUGGCGAAGGCGGCUACCUGGUCUGCAACUGACGCUGAGACUCGAAAGCAUGGGUAGCGAACAGGAUUAGAUACCCCUGGUAGGAUAGCG